Molecule: transfer RNA, 67 nt
Filed under: Teratoscincus przewalskii (Przewalski's wonder gecko)
Lineage: Eukaryota; Metazoa; Chordata; Lepidosauria; Squamata; Sphaerodactylidae
Description: tRNA-Gly
Source: RNAcentral
AUCCCCUGAGUAUGCAAGUACAGAUAAUUUCCACUUAUCAAGCCUUAGCUAGCCCUAAGAGGGGAUA